Molecule: ribosomal RNA, 800 nt
Filed under: Helcobacillus massiliensis
Lineage: Bacteria; Bacillati; Actinomycetota; Actinomycetes; Micrococcales; Dermabacteraceae
Description: bacterial SSU rRNA
Rfam family: Bacterial small subunit ribosomal RNA
Source: RNAcentral
GAACGAUGAAGGCCCAGCUUGCUGGGUUGGAUUAGUGGCGAACGGGUGAGUAUCACGUGAGUAACCUGCCCUUCACUUCGGGAUAACUUCGAGAAAUCGGGGCUAAUACCGGAUGUUCUGUCUGCACCGCAUGGUGUGGGUUGGAAAGAUUUAUCGGUGGAGGAUGGGCUCGCGGCCUAUCAGUUUGUUGGUGAGGUGAUGGCUCACCAAGGCGAUGACGGGUAGCCGGCCUGAGAGGGCGACCGGCCACACUGGGACUGAGACACGGCCCAGACUCCUACGGGAGGCAGCAGUGGGGAAUAUUGCACAAUGGGCGGAAGCCUGAUGCAGCGACGCCGCGUGGGGGAUGACGGCCUUCGGGUUGUAAACCUCUUUCAGUAGGGAAGAAGCCUUUGGGUGACGGUACCUGCAGAAGAAGCGCCGGCUAACUACGUGCCAGCAGCCGCGGUAAUACGUAGGGCGCAAGCGUUGUCCGGAAUUAUUGGGCGUAAAGAGCUUGUAGGUGGCUUGUCGCGUCUGCCGUGAAAACCCAAUGCUUAACGUUGGGCGUGCGGUGGGUACGGGCAGGCUAGAGUGUGGUAGGGGAGACUGGAAUUCCUGGUGUAGCGGUGAAAUGCGCAGAUAUCAGGAGGAACACCGAUGGCGAAGGCAGGUCUCUGGGCCAUUACUGACACUGAGAAGCGAAAGCAUGGGGAGCGAACAGGAUUAGAUACCCUGGUAGUCCAUGCCGUAAACGUUGGGCACUAGGUGUGGGGAACAUUCCACGUUUUCCGCGCCGCAGCUAACGCAUUAAGUGCCCC